RNAcentral lists this ribosomal RNA (496 nucleotides) under uncultured bacterium. RNAcentral's name for it is "partial 16S ribosomal RNA". It matches the Rfam family "Bacterial small subunit ribosomal RNA", at positions 28 to 507 of the family's 1533-position model. The record is from RNAcentral.
GAUGAACGCUGGCGGCGUGCCUAAUACAUGCAAGUCGAGCGAACAGACGAGGAGCUUGCUCCUCUGACGUUAGCGGCGGACGGGUGAGUAACACGUGAUAACCUACCUAUAAGACUGGGAUAACUUCGGGAAACCGGAGCUAAUACCGGAUAAUAUAUUUAACCGCAUGGUUCAAUAGUGAAAGACGGUUUUGCUGUCACUUAUAGAUGGAUCCGCGCCGCAUUAGCUAGUUGGUAAGGUAACGGCUUACCAAGGCGACGAUGCGUAGCCGACCUGAGAGGGUGAUCGGCCACACUGGAACUGAGACACGGUCCAGACUCCUACGGGAGGCAGCAGUAGGGAAUCUUCCGCAAUGGGCGAAAGCCUGACGGAGCAACGCCGCGUGAGUGAUGAAGGUCUUCGGAUCGUAAAACUCUGUUAUUAGGGAAGAACAAAUGUGUAAGUAACUAUGCACGUCUUGACGGUACCUAAUCAGAAAGCCACGGCUAACUACGUG